AGGCUUUAUUAGUUACAUUUAUAGUGAUUUUCUAAACUUCUCUUAAGAGUAAUACUACUGUCUUAGUCCUGUCACGUUAACAAAGAAAUUAGGAUAAUUGCAAAACUGUUCAGUGUUUACAAUAUAAGGCUUCAGUAGUUAAUCUAUACAAAGGCUGUUUUGCCUUAAUUUUUUUAUUUUUUUGAAAAGUCUAAAUGUUAUAUUGCACUAAUAAAAUAUAUAUUUUUGCAGGCUUCAAGAGGAUCAGCGUGUGAAGAUCACUUUAUAAUGAUUUGAAAAAGGUUGCCAUGGCUGCAGAAAUUGGAGGAGCAUCCUUAGAUGACACAAUACAACCAGCUGUGCGAUUCCUCAUGUCCCAUGAACUGGAAGUCCAGUUCAACCUUUUUGGCCAACAUUGGAAACAAGCUCUUGGACCUGCGUCUCUUUGAUGUUUUGUAUGGGGACUUAAAAGAAAUUAUCCAUCUACAGAAUCACACAAGCAUACAGCAAAGACUCUCGAAGUGGUUUACUGGAGCCCGAGUGGAAGUGGAAAUAGACUAGAGAGACUGCCAGUUCAAACUCAGGUUGGGGAGGUCUUUCAAGAUGGACAGUUUCAGUAAAGUAUGAGAGAUUUCAAAUUUAAGCAUGCAUAUGGCAUGUAGGUUAUUUUUAAAAAUGUUUAACAAAAAUGUAUUGUGAAAGAUCUAUAUAGGUGUGUAUAUUCACAUUGUGUGUAUCAAUGUGAAUAUACGUGUAUAAAGUUAUAUAGAUAGUAUUUAGAUGUAUACAUUUAUAG
Molecule: long non-coding RNA, 775 nt
Organism: Poeciliopsis prolifica (blackstripe livebearer)
Lineage: Eukaryota; Metazoa; Chordata; Actinopteri; Cyprinodontiformes; Poeciliidae
Exons: 3
Source: RefSeq, a predicted model, not a curated record